RNAcentral lists this ribosomal RNA (800 nucleotides) under uncultured bacterium. RNAcentral describes it as "bacterial SSU rRNA". It matches the Rfam family "Bacterial small subunit ribosomal RNA", at positions 8 to 818 of the family's 1533-position model. The record is from RNAcentral.
AGAGUUUGAUCCUGGCUCAGGACGAACGCUGGCGGCGUGCCUAACACAUGCAAGUCGAGCGAGAUCCAACCGGUGCUUGCACCGGUGAAGAUCUAGCGGCGAACGGGUGAGUAACACGUGAGAAACCUGCCCCAGACUCUGGGAUAACUCGGGGAAACUCGAGCUAAUACCGGAUACCCUCAGAGGAUCGCAUGGUCUUUUGAGGAAAGUUUUUCGGUUUGGGAGGGUCUCGCGGCCUAUCAGCUAGUUGGCGGGGUAACGGCCCACCAAGGCAUCGACGGGUAGCUGGUCUGAGAGGACGAUCAGCCACACUGGGACUGAGACACGGCCCAGACUCCUACGGGAGGCAGCAGUGGGGAAUCUUGCGCAAUGGGCGAAAGCCUGACGCAGCAACGCCGCGUGCGGGAUGAAGGCCUUCGGGUUGUAAACCGCUUUCAGUAGGGAAGAAAUUGACGGUACCUACAGAAGAAGCCCCGGCCAACUACGUGCCAGCAGCCGCGGUAACACGUAGGGGGCGAGCGUUGUCCGGAUUUAUUGGGCGUAAAGAGCUUGUAGGCGGUUCGGUAAGUCGGGUGUGAAACCUCCAGGCUCAACCUGGAGACGCCACCCGAUACUGCUGUGACUUGAGUCCGGUAGGGGAGUGUGGAACUCCUGGUGUAGCGGUGAAAUGCGCAGAUAUCAGGAAGAACACCAGCGGCGAAGGCGGCACUCUGGGCCGGUACUGACGCUGAGGAGCGAAAGCGUGGGUAGCAAACAGGAUUAGAUACCCUGGUAGUCCACGCCGUAAACGUUGGGCACUA